GUCUUUUAAUUGAAGACUGGAAUGAAUGAUUAGAUGAGAAUUAUACUUUCUUUAUUUUUAAAAAAUAACUUAAUUUUUAAGUUAAAAAGCUUAAAUAAGUUUAAGGGACGAGAAGACCCUAUAGAAUUUUACAUAUGUUUUUAUAAAUAAAUAUUAGAUAAUGGAUUAUUUAUAAUAUAUAUAUGUUUGGUUGGGGUGAUUAUAAAAAUAUUAUAACUUUUAUUAUUUUAAACAUUUAUAUAUGUAUUUUUGAUUUAUAAAAAUAAUUAUAAGAUUAAAUUACCUUAGGGAUAACAGCGUGAUUGUUUUAGAGAGUUCUUAUCAAUAAAAUAGUUUGCGACCUCGAUGUUGGAUUAAAAUUAGUUUUAGGUGCAGAAUUUUAAUAACUGAGUCUGUUCGACUUUUAAAAUUUUACA
RNAcentral lists this ribosomal RNA (416 nucleotides) under Fulvius sp. 013SNU-031. RNAcentral describes it as "partial large subunit ribosomal RNA". The stretch from base 290 to 416 matches the Rfam family "Archaeal large subunit ribosomal RNA", at positions 2542 to 2669 of the family's 2987-position model. Lineage: Eukaryota; Metazoa; Arthropoda; Insecta; Hemiptera; Miridae. The record is from RNAcentral.